UACGGGGGGGGCAAGCGUUGUUCGGAAUUACUGGGCGUAAAGGGCUCGUAGGCGGCCAACUAAGUCGGAUGUGAAAUCCCCAGGCUUAACCUGGGAACUGCAUCCGAUACUGGAUGGCUUGAAUCCGGGAGAGGGAUGUGGAAUUCCAGGUGUAGCGGUGAAAUGCGUAGAUAUCUGGAGGAACACCGGUGGCGAAGGCGGCAUCCUGGACCGGUAUUGACGCUGAGGCGCGAAAGCUAGGGGAGCAAACGGG
This 253-nucleotide ribosomal RNA is filed under the name uncultured bacterium. RNAcentral describes it as "partial 16S ribosomal RNA". It matches the Rfam family "Bacterial small subunit ribosomal RNA", at positions 524 to 776 of the family's 1533-position model. The record is from RNAcentral.